This 408-nucleotide ribosomal RNA is filed under the name Triticum aestivum (bread wheat). RNAcentral's name for it is "partial small subunit ribosomal RNA". Lineage: Eukaryota; Viridiplantae; Streptophyta; Magnoliopsida; Poales; Poaceae. The record is from RNAcentral.
AUGGACUUGCCAGGGCUGUUAGCACGAGACUUUAAUGAAAUUCUAUAUGCCCAUGUGAAAGAUGGUGGUAUUGCGCACCCGCAACGGUGCAUGCAAGCUUUCGGUGAAGCUCUUGCUAAUUGUGGGCUUGAUGAUUUAGGAUACACAAGUGACAAACUCUCGUGGCGGCGUGCACAUAUUCAUGAACGCCUAGACCGUGCUACUGGCAAUAUCACUUGGGCUGAUAUGUUUUCUUUGUUUGGUGUGUCGAACGAGGACUUCGACAAGUUUUAUCAUAGGCCGGUGCUGAUUGACACUGAUUUUCAGCUUGGGGUUCAACCGAGAGGACCAAGUGGGCCUCAUAAAUUUGAGGCGCACUGGUUGGCCGAAGAGGACGUUGAAACAAUAGUGCAAGUGGCCUGGUACUGA